GACGAACCGAGCGAACGUUGUUCGGAAUCACUGGGCUUAAAGGGCGCGUAGGCGGGCUGUCGCGUCCGGGGUGAAAUCCCACGGCUCAACCGUGGAACUGCCUCGGAUACGGGCGGCCUCGAGGGGGGUAGGGGCAUCUGGAACUGUGAGUGGAGCGGUGAAAUGCGUUGAUAUUCACAGGAACUCCGGUGGCGAAGGCGAGGUGCUGGACCGCUCCUGACGCUGAUGCGCGAAAGCCAGGGGAGCAAACGGG
Molecule: ribosomal RNA, 253 nt
Filed under: uncultured bacterium
Lineage: Bacteria
Description: partial 16S ribosomal RNA
Rfam family: Bacterial small subunit ribosomal RNA
Source: RNAcentral